UUCGAGAAAACAAACACACAAUAAAGAGAAAUCUCACUCUUUCAGUAUCCAAUGGGAGAAAGCCAAGGUUUCUAAUGGGGACUACUUCAGGAGAAUAUAUCUUAGAAGUAAAGAAAAAAAAUGGAAGCUUCUUAAACAAAAAUCCCCAAGCCUUAAAUUACAUCAGAGAUAACAAAAGGUUGAUGCCCCCGAAGUUUGAUUUGCAGAAGUGUUGAGUAUUCAGAGCUGCAACUGAAGUCAAGGGGAGCUGGGCUUUGACCACAUUCCAUCAGUCAAACAACAAGAAAAAACACCUCACUUGGGCCAUUCAGCACAAGACAACAAACAACGACAAUUGUACAAGUCUGGACCUAGAUGAUGGUCCACAUGCUGAGUUAUUGCUCCAGGAGAAGAUUAGAACUUCUAUGAAAAACACCACUGAACUGCAAAGUUAAGACAGGGAGAAUACAAAUGGUGGGAGAAGACUGUUCAGAUCUGGAUAAGGUUACCAUUCAAGGUUUGGGCUCCA
Long non-coding RNA from Malaclemys terrapin pileata, 508 nucleotides. RefSeq lists it as uncharacterized. The record is from RefSeq and is a predicted model, not a curated record. The transcript is spliced from 4 exons. Lineage: Eukaryota; Metazoa; Chordata; Testudines; Emydidae.